Long non-coding RNA from Callithrix jacchus (white-tufted-ear marmoset), 1531 nucleotides. RefSeq lists it as uncharacterized. Lineage: Eukaryota; Metazoa; Chordata; Mammalia; Primates; Cebidae. The record is from RefSeq and is a predicted model, not a curated record.
CAUAGUAGGUACUCAAUAAAUAUGAAAAAGAGAAAGGCAACACAGUCAUUAAGAAAAACUUUGGCCAGUUUCUUCCAUAUCUCUGGGUCUUAUUUUUUGCCUAGCCUUUCUAUAAAGUUCUACAGAGGCAGAGGGUAGUGAUGUCAACCCACGCUAUCUUGAAAGCCCUCGAGGGAUCACGGAUAGCAUUAACCAUACUCUAAGGGCAGGUAGCUAAGGAGAUGGGAAGUUUUCCCAAAUCUCAAGGGGCAGCCUCCCAACCCCAUCCAGGAGUCCUGUGCUUCCCGCCCUUAUGGGGCAGAAGCAAUCGUGGCAGCCUCCCCAGGGGCUCAGCUCAUUGGGAGGUUAGGCUUCCCAAAGAGCUGCACCAACUGUGAACACUUACCCUACAGAAGCUGAUGCAGAAAGUGAGAUAGCAGCUUGGUGGUGGUGUGGGGUGGAGGGCAGCAAAGCCAGACCCCAGCACUGAGACUGCUGCCGUAUCUUGUUCCUCCUACAGCCCUUCCAGCGUAACCAGCCUUGUGGAAGCUGCUGUGCAGGAAGCCAGGGCAUGAUCCACCCUUGAACUUGCCAUCCAACUGGGAGGGCCAGAUGUACCCUUGAGAUCUGAUGAGUAAGAGACGACUUCACAAAGCAUGUGCAUGUGCUGGAACAGAGGGCAGGCAUACUCAAAGCUGAGAAGCCAAGAGGCAGAACAGAGUGGGACGGCGCCUGGGCAGACAGGCAAACAUGAAGAGCUGCAUUUUGGCUCGGAUCCCCCAUCGCCCUGCCUGCAGGACCAGCUCACAGUCUGCAGUUUGGCAAUUUCUCCCAGUCCCGAGAAAAGGCCUGCUGUUCCUUUGGCUGGAUUCCUGCUCUCAGACCUCCAGAGGCAGUGCUGGGGAGCAUGGAGGCAGGCCUGACACCUGCAGGCCUGUGAGCUGGUCUGAUGUGCAUGGCCCACUAAGCAGAUGUCACUUCCUCCCCAGAGGCAGCAGCAUUUUGGAGUCAGAAACUGUCAUCCACCCAGGUUCUCCCUUGACAAGAGGGCAACAGAGAUGGAGAGAACAGAGGCAGAAUCUGAACUCCAGGGGACCUCGGAAACCCUCCCAGGUGUACCCCCUCCUCCUCUAGAUGAGGACACAGCCCCAGGGAGGGGAUGGAUAUGUCCUGGGUACAGGGAGCAGUGUGUCUGGAGCUGAGAGCCAUGUGGAGGCUGCUCUGGGAGGUUCUGAACGUUCACCAGGGGAAGGAGACUUCUUCCCUGGGUGGGGGCCCGAAGGCAGGAGCUCAGGUUCUCAGUGAUUCCCACUGUGGGAGCCCCACGCUGUCAAGGGCCCACCUUCUCACACAUGCAGUCCUGGUGGCUUAGCUGCUGCCACCGGGGGGGGAGGCACUGAAGCAGCCUCACUUAGCCACGAUAUGGGAGGCUGGAGGCCAUGAAAAAGGGCCUUUCAGGAGAGGAGCUCCCGGCUGGGCACACUGGCUUUUGCCUAUAAUCCCAGCCCUGUCCAGCAGUAAUUCCUAAGCCCUGUCCAGCAGUACAGACUGU